RNAcentral lists this ribosomal RNA (484 nucleotides) under uncultured bacterium. RNAcentral's name for it is "partial 16S ribosomal RNA". It matches the Rfam family "Bacterial small subunit ribosomal RNA", at positions 30 to 507 of the family's 1533-position model. The record is from RNAcentral.
AUUGAACGCUGGCGGCAGGCCUAACACAUGCAAGUCGAGCGGAUGAAGGGAGCUUGCUCCUGGAUUCAGCGGCGGACGGGUGAGUAAUGCCUAGGAAUCUGCCUGGUAGUGGGGGAUAACGUCCGGAAACGGGCGCUAAUACCGCAUCCGUCCUGAGGGAGAAAGGGGGGGAUCUUCGGACCUCACGCUAUCAGAUGAGCCUAGGUCGGAUUAGCUAGUUGGUGGGGUAAAGGCCUACCAAGGCGACGAUCCGUAACUGGUCUGAGAGGAUGAUCAGUCACACUGGAACUGAGACACGGUCCAGACUCCUACGGGAGGCAGCAGUGGGGAAUAUUGGACAAUGGGCGAAAGCCUGAUCCAGCCAUGCCGCGUGUGUGAAGAAGGUCUUCGGAUUGUAAAGCACUUUAAGUUGGGAGGAAGGGCAGUAAGUUAAUACCUUGCUGUUUUGACGUUACCAACAGAAUAAGCACCGGCUAACUUCGUG